Molecule: transfer RNA, 66 nt
Filed under: Bemisia tabaci
Lineage: Eukaryota; Metazoa; Arthropoda; Insecta; Hemiptera; Aleyrodidae
Description: tRNA-Cys
Source: RNAcentral
UUAUUAAUAGUUAAGUAGAUAACACUAAAAUGCAAUUUUAGAAUUGGAUCAUAAGAUCUUAAUAAA